Callorhinchus milii (elephant shark) is the source of this 320-nucleotide long non-coding RNA. RefSeq lists it as uncharacterized. NCBI's taxonomy places the organism in Eukaryota, Metazoa, Chordata, Chondrichthyes, Chimaeriformes, Callorhinchidae. The record is from RefSeq and is a predicted model, not a curated record. The transcript is spliced from 3 exons.
CGACGGUUGCUGUGUGGGAGGAGUCGCGACUGAGAAGCCGCAGUUUUCCAAGAUUUGUGCAAUGCCGAGAUGGGAAUAAUAUUGUGGAUGGAGAUACCAAACUCAUUAAAUGUGCCUAAGGUUAAGACUGUAGAGACCUCAUCAAGAAGCUGAGAAGAUGGCGGGGGGAACGAGAAGUGUGAAAACAAGAAAUCCUUGCAGGUGUGACUUGGCAAGGAACUGCUCGAUCCAGCUUCAUUCAUAAUUCUGAGUGAGAGAAUUGCUGACAGUUGAGUUUAAGUUUUAAGAGAUCGUUGCAUAAAAGUAAUCUCCGAAGGUAG